RNAcentral lists this ribosomal RNA (35 nucleotides) under Oxalis bisfracta. RNAcentral describes it as "partial 26S ribosomal RNA". The record is from RNAcentral. Lineage: Eukaryota; Viridiplantae; Streptophyta; Magnoliopsida; Oxalidales; Oxalidaceae.
GCGACCCCAGGUCAGGCUGCACUACCCAACUGAGU